AACGAACGCUGGCGGCAUGCCUAACACAUGCAAGUCGAACGAGACCUUCGGGUCUAGUGGCGCACGGGUGCGUAACGCGUGGGAACCUGCCCUUAGGUUCGGAAUAACUCCCCGAAAGGGGUGCUAAUACCGGAUAAUGUCUUCGGACCAAAGAUUUAUCGCCUUUGGAUGGGCCCGCGUUGGAUUAGCUAGUUGGUAGGGUAAAAGCCUACCAAGGCGACGAUCCAUAGCUGGUCUGAGAGGAUGAUCAGCCACACUGGGACUGAGACACGGCCCAGACUCCUACGAGAGGCAGCAGUGGGGAAUAUUGGACAAUGGGCGAAAGCCUGAUCCAGCAAUGCCGCGUGAGUGAUGAAGGCCUUAGGGUUGUAAAGCUCUUUUAACCGGGAUGAUAAUGACAGUACCGGGAGAAUAAGCGCCGGCUAACUCCGUG
Molecule: ribosomal RNA, 433 nt
Filed under: uncultured bacterium
Lineage: Bacteria
Description: partial 16S ribosomal RNA
Rfam family: Bacterial small subunit ribosomal RNA
Source: RNAcentral